ACAGCAUUGAAUUUUCCCUCCAUUUGUCUGACAAGAGAAUUAAUAAACGUUACUCGCCACAGAGCUAAAUCAACCGGGAUAAAAAGGAAGAAAUUGAACGAGAAGGUUAAGAGAUUGGGUAAACCAAAGAACUUGUUAAAAAGAUACGUAAAAUUUCUAAUUUUUUUCGGAUUAAAAAUUCUAUUAUCCUCGCAAUGCCAAAAUCAAUAAAGAAGAAGUUAACAGUGUCUUUGAUAUCAGAUAAAUGGAAUAAUGUCAUGCGGAACAUGCCUUAUAUCUUACUUACGGAUAUUAUGAAGGAAUACAAAAAUGAUGAAGCAAGCAAUAUUAAAAGUUCAUUAAAUGAAUUGACAG
Molecule: long non-coding RNA, 354 nt
Organism: Nylanderia fulva
Lineage: Eukaryota; Metazoa; Arthropoda; Insecta; Hymenoptera; Formicidae
Source: RefSeq, a predicted model, not a curated record